This is a long non-coding RNA of Tetranychus urticae (two-spotted spider mite), 2043 nucleotides long. RefSeq lists it as uncharacterized. The record is from RefSeq and is a predicted model, not a curated record. NCBI's taxonomy places the organism in Eukaryota, Metazoa, Arthropoda, Arachnida, Trombidiformes, Tetranychidae.
UCCCCUCUCUUUCCCUUUCAAUUCAAAUGUUCAAUCCGCUCAUCAGCCGUUGUUUACAAUUAUCAUCAGAAUCAUCAUCAACGUCUUAUUUUUCUUACCUUCUUCAACUGAUUAUCCUUGAUGGUAUUAAAUAGGAAAAAGCCUCUGUUCAAUUCAACAUCAGCCAAGGAAAAUGAUUCAAUCUUCAAUACUGUUAAAAUUUAAAUGAAUCAGGCCAUAUCAAGUUCUGAUGACUCUCUUCAAUUUAUUUUUUUGCUGUUGCUUACCCAAUGUGAAACAAAUUACAACUUUAACCUGACCAUUCUUUGAUUAUAAAUGAACUUCAAUGUAACUAAUUUAACGGCAGAUUGAUUCAAGUUCAACGUUUAUUACCGCCCUUGCUGGAAAGUCUAAAGGGAUAAAUGAUCUUCUUGCUGGAAAGUCUCUUUUUUGUCCUCAACUCUGUUAAUCUGCUGAUAGUUCACGAUAAUUUACGUGAAUUUUACUCUUAAUGCAAUCCAUUUAAUUUGGAACCAUCUGUUUACCAUGCAAUUUCAUUAAUGUGCAUCCAACAGAUUGAAUUUCAUCUUUAAGAUACAUGAUCAUUAUUUAAUUGAAUAAUUGCUGAUAGUGAAGCCAAGUUAAAGCAAUAAUAAUAUCGUCUACCAACAAGCAAGGAAAAUCAAAGCAUGUAGUACGUUUUACAUGUAAAAAGCUAUUGUCGUAUAUCAAGUCACCUUAAUCUUGUUAAUCAUGGUUCAGUGAUUUACUUUUUCUCAUGCAAAUCAAAGUGAUUACGGAAGUGAAGAGUUUGCAAGGAAAGGUCAAAUAGUAUAGAUAACAUUAUUAAUAAAAAUAAGAUUAAAGAUCAACAGCCUUGAAUGUGAAACUCAAUGGACUCUACAAUCAAAAUUGGCUCCAGUUAUCAAUUGAAUGGAGAAAGACAAUGAUGGUUUUGGAGUGAAAUUAAAGGCAAUACAUCAGUUAAUAAAAGUGGUUGGACACAUGAUUGAAUCUUUGGCCAACAAUUGUAUUAAACCAGCCAUAAUAAGCCGUAAAAAAUUAAAGACUUGGACAUGGAUAAUUUCAUUUGUUAUUGGCACCGAGAAAUACACUGAAACGGAAUGGAUAUUUCGAGUUAUUUAUACUUUACAUUUUCGUGAAAAUAACCCAAAAGGGCUAAUCCCACGAAGGGACAUCGGAAAUAUUGACUGCAUUUGUUAAAUGAGUUAAUUGGGUUGUGGUUAACCAGAUCAGCCAUUGAGACAUUGAAUUCAGUCUCCUGUCUACCAUAAAAAAUGGAUCAAACAGAAAUCUGGUUUUCAAGUUUCACUGUUCACUGGUGACAUUGAUUAACCCGGUGAUCAUUUAAGAUGCAAUGUAAACGGAACGAUGACUUCACGAAAUGUUAUGAAAGGAAAACCUGGAGCCAUAAAUAGAAAUGAUAAUCAUCCUUGUUCCUGUCUAAUCAUGAACAACUCUCGUUGAAGCAUCUCAAAUCUCAGUGUUGUCAGCAAUCCUAACAGUCUCUGAAUUAAUGGGCUUCUUACAAUUAAUAAUCACAUGAACUGGAUACCAAUCAUAAUCAUUUUUGUAAAGCAAACCUAACUGCAAUCGAUUACUGGUCUUUCCCUGUUUCAUUGUCUUUCCAUCUAAUAACUGUCCUAAUUAAGAAGGAUUCAAACCUGAGGUUAUCCAGACAAAAGCAGAUAGAAACUGAAAACGCUUUCCAUAAUCUUUAAUCAUCUACGGAUUAUUAUGGAAUAGAGGAAUUGGAUUGUCUCGAGAAGUGAUUGAAUUGGAAUAGUUAUUCAAGUCUAUUCUGUAUAUUAAUGGAAAGAUUAUUAUGAAGACAUUUUAAUCUGAAUUUCAGGAGAGUCCCAAUCGAUUUACAGUGAACUAAUAGAGGAAUAUGAUUUUUUCAUGAUCAACUCAGCUUAUUUUAAGCUUUUGUUUGAUAUAGUAUUCAAUAAUUUUUGUGAAAAUUUUAGGCUAAAAUUAUCCUUCUUUAUUUAUAAGUUGUAACUCUUUUGGUUAAUAUCAUUACAUCUUUUAUCUUGUUUA